Molecule: ribosomal RNA, 759 nt
Filed under: Brevibacterium casei
Lineage: Bacteria; Bacillati; Actinomycetota; Actinomycetes; Micrococcales; Brevibacteriaceae
Description: bacterial SSU rRNA
Rfam family: Bacterial small subunit ribosomal RNA
Source: RNAcentral
UGCUUGCACCGGGUGGAUGAGUGGCGAACGGGUGAGUAACACGUGAGUAACCUGCCCCUGACUUCGGGAUAAGCCCGGGAAACUGGGUCUAAUACCGGAUACGACUGCCGGACGCAUGUCUGGUGGUGGAAAGUUUUUUCGGUUGGGGAUGGGCUCGCGGCCUAUCAGUUUGUUGGUGAGGUAAUGGCUCACCAAGACGACGACGGGUAGCCGGCCUGAGAGGGCGACCGGCCACACUGGGACUGAGACACGGCCCAGACUCCUACGGGAGGCAGCAGUGGGGAAUAUUGCACAAUGGGGGAAACCCUGAUGCAGCGACGCAGCGUGCGGGAUGACGGCCUUCGGGUUGUAAACCGCUUUCAGCAGGGAAGAAGCGCAAGUGACGGUACCUGCAGAAGAAGUACCGGCUAACUACGUGCCAGCAGCCGCGGUAAUACGUAGGGUACGAGCGUUGUCCGGAAUUAUUGGGCGUAAAGAGCUCGUAGGUGGUUGGUCACGUCUGCUGUGGAAACGCAACGCUUAACGUUGCGCGUGCAGUGGGUACGGGCUGACUAGAGUGCAGUAGGGGAGUCUGGAAUUCCUGGUGUAGCGGUGAAAUGCGCAGAUAUCAGGAGGAACACCGGUGGCGAAGGCGGGACUCUGGGCUGUAACUGACACUGAGGAGCGAAAGCAUGGGGAGCGAACAGGAUUAGAUACCCUGGUAGUCCAUGCCGUAAACGUUGGGCACUAGGUGUGGGGGGCAUUCCACGUUCUCCGCGC